CAAUAGCGUAUAUUAAAGUUGUUGCAGUUAAAAAGCUCGUAGUUGGAUUUCUGGUGGGAGCGAUCGGUCUGGCGCUUAGCGCGAGUACUUGCAUCGUCUCCGGCCAUCCUUGGGGAGAGUCUGUCUGGCAUUGGGUUGUCGGGCAGAGGAUCCUCAUCGUUUACUGUGAAAAAAUUAGAGUGUUCAAAGCAGGCUUAUGCCGUUGAAUAUAUUAGCAUGGAAUAAUAAGAUAGGACUUUGGUACUAUUUUGUUGGUUUGCGCACCAAAGUAAUGAUUAAUAGGGACAGUUGGGGGUAUUCGUAUUCCGUUGUCAGAGGUGAAAUUCUUGGAUUUACGGAAGACGAACUACUGCGAAAGCAUUUACCAAGGAUGUUUUCAUUAA
RNAcentral lists this ribosomal RNA (383 nucleotides) under uncultured eukaryote. RNAcentral's name for it is "partial 18S ribosomal RNA". It matches the Rfam family "Eukaryotic small subunit ribosomal RNA", at positions 592 to 976 of the family's 1831-position model. The record is from RNAcentral.